Non-coding RNA from Physcomitrium patens, 669 nucleotides. The record is from RefSeq and is a predicted model, not a curated record. NCBI's taxonomy places the organism in Eukaryota, Viridiplantae, Streptophyta, Bryopsida, Funariales, Funariaceae.
GAUGUUCUGAGAUUGAUUCUACAACAUUACCGAAUUCUUGGGUUGUGAGUGUGCUCUUUUAUUUUCUGAGAAUGAAGUCGCGGUGUUAGAUAAUGGUGUUGCAAACUGAGAGCUGUUUUCAUCUGCAAGUCUUUUCCAAAACCAUUACAUACAUGGAUUUGAAGGUUGUAGUAGCAUGGCGUGUUCGUCGCAGGAGAGCCGCUUGCCGAGUGACAAUCUGAUCCGGCUGUCGGUAGAUUUUGACCAUUAUGCUUCUCAAUCGAUAUCUGAUCGAUCAAAUGUGGCCUUUGUUUCAGUGCAAGUGAGUGCGGAGGUUUUGAAGGAGCCAACAGUCAUUGAGGUUGGUGUCUCAAGCUUCGGAAGGUUGGAUGACAGAGGCUGAAAAAUUGUUGUGUCGAUGGAGCGGGAAGAGAGUAGUGGUCAGGGUCAUAUUUUUGUAACUACGGAGUGGAAUCUGUUGAGGCUUACAGCUACAAGCAAAGGCUAGAGAAGAAGAGGCAGGGUAGUGCAAUUAUUUCCAAAUGCUAAGAUUGUGCUUCUCCAAUAAGGAUGACGUUCAAUCUUGCACUGAAUUUUUCAAAUAGACCUUGCUCCUAGGAUUUGGUGAAUAUGUCGGCUACUCUGUAAAGGGCAUAUAAAUCAAAUCAAACUUUCUUCUUCCAUUUCUAU